GUAGUCCACGCCCUAAACGAUGUCAACUGGUUGUUGGUGGGGUUAAACCCAUUAGUAACGAAGCUAACGCGUGAAGUUGACCGCCUGGGGAGUACGGCCGCAAGGUUAAAACUCAAAGGAAUUGACGGGGACCCGCACAAGCGGUGGAUGAUGUGGAUUAAUUCGAUGCAACGCGAAGAACCUUACCUACCCUUGACAUGCCAGGAAGUCUGCUGAGAGGUGGACGUGCCCGAAAGGGAGCCUGGACACAGGUGCUGCAUGGCUGUCGUCAGCUCGUGUCGUGAGAUGUUGGGUUAAGUCCCGCAACGAGCGCAACCCUUGUCACUAGUUGCUACGAAAGGGCACUCUAGUGAGACUGCCGGUGACAAACCGGA
Molecule: ribosomal RNA, 374 nt
Filed under: uncultured bacterium
Lineage: Bacteria
Description: bacterial SSU rRNA
Rfam family: Bacterial small subunit ribosomal RNA
Source: RNAcentral